Pelobates cultripes (western spadefoot toad) is the source of this 109-nucleotide non-coding RNA. NCBI's taxonomy places the organism in Eukaryota, Metazoa, Chordata, Amphibia, Anura, Pelobatidae. The record is from the annotation of a GenBank genome assembly.
GUCACGUCUACGCGUUUCGCCGUGCACAGACAGCUUCGUCAAGACGUUUUGAUCUGCUUCAAACGUCCUGACAAAGCCGUCUGUGCACGGCGAAACGCGUAGACGUGAC